UUCUCGUGAAUUCUUUUUCAA
Molecule: non-coding RNA, 21 nt
Filed under: Caenorhabditis elegans
Lineage: Eukaryota; Metazoa; Nematoda; Chromadorea; Rhabditida; Rhabditidae
Source: RNAcentral